AGAGUUUGAUCCUGGCUCAGGAUGAACGCUAGCGAUAGGCUUAACACAUGCAAGUCGAGGGGCAGCACGUUAUGGUGGCGACCGGCGCACGGGUGAGUAACACGUAUGCAACCUACCCAUAACAGGGGGAUAGCCCGGAGAAAUCCGGAUUAAUACCGCAUAAAGCAGGGAUACCACAUGGUAGUAUUUGCUAAAGAUUUAUCGGUUAUGGAUGGGCAUGCGUAGGAUUAGAUAGUUGGUAGAGGUAACGGCUCACCAAGUCAACGAUCCUUAGGGGAACUGAGAGGUUUAUCCCCCACACUGGUACUGAGACACGGACCAGACUCCUACGGGAGGCAGCAGUGAGGAAUAUUGGUCAAUGGUCGUAAGACUGAACCAGCCAAAUCGCGUGAAGGAUGAAGGUAUUAUGUAUUGUAAACUUCUUUUGAGAGGGAAUAAAGUGCGCCACGCGUGGUGUUUUGUAUGUACCUUUCGAAUAAGCAUCGGCUAACUCCGUGCCAGCAGCCGCGGUAAUACGGAGGAUGCGAGCGUUAUCCGGAUUUAUUGGGUUUAAAGGGUGCGUAGGUGGUUUGAUAAGUCAGCGGUGAAAUCCUGGAGCUUAACUCCGGAACUGCCGUUGAAACUGUCGGACUUGAGUGUAAACGAGGCAGGCGGAAUUCGUAGUGUAGCGGUGAAUGCAUAGAUAUUACGAAGAACCCCGAUAGCGCAGGCAGCUUGCCAGGCUACAACUGACACUGAAGCACGAAAG
RNAcentral lists this ribosomal RNA (748 nucleotides) under uncultured bacterium. RNAcentral's name for it is "bacterial SSU rRNA". It matches the Rfam family "Bacterial small subunit ribosomal RNA", at positions 8 to 759 of the family's 1533-position model. The record is from RNAcentral.